This 204-nucleotide ribosomal RNA is filed under the name uncultured Eubacteriales bacterium. RNAcentral describes it as "uncultured Clostridiales bacterium partial 16S ribosomal RNA". It matches the Rfam family "Bacterial small subunit ribosomal RNA", at positions 130 to 334 of the family's 1533-position model. Lineage: Bacteria; Bacillati; Bacillota; Clostridia; Eubacteriales. The record is from RNAcentral.
CUAUGACAGUGGGAUAGCCUCGGGAAACCGGGAUUAAUACCGCAUAAAAUCGUAGAAACACAUGUUUUAACGGUCAAAGAUUUAUCGGUCAUAGAUGGGCUCGCGUCUGAUUAGCUAGUUGGUGAGAUAACAGCCCACCAAGGCGACGAUCAGUAGCCGGUCUGAGAGGAUGAACGGCCACAUUGGAACUGAGACACGGUCCAA